CCCUGCUUGUGCAGCGACGACCGAUCCUACAUCCCUUUUCAUUUUUGCUCCAAGAGCGUUAUGCCUUGGACCAAUUUGGUUCCCUGUGUUGUAUACCUACGUUGAUGGAAUUUGCUCGUCCAAUCACCCUUUAUUCACCUUGUGUUGCUUUACGCGGUGCGAGAUGAACCAUGCAGUGUCCUUUGUUGUCCGUUCUUGCCUUGUGUUUGCGCGACGCAUGAAAUGGCCAAUUUCGUGACACUCGAACUCUCGGAUACGGAACCCUAAGCGGGCAACGGGUCUUUGGCCUUGAUUUGCCCAAACUGAGUUCUUACGAACGAUUGUCGCGCCCGUUUUGACCUGAGGAUGCUUUCGGUCCGACUGGCUCAUGCGGUGCAGACGUCGAAGAGGAAUGCUAC
Molecule: unclassified non-coding RNA, 398 nt
Filed under: Frodinia gleasonii
Lineage: Eukaryota; Viridiplantae; Streptophyta; Magnoliopsida; Apiales; Araliaceae
Description: Schefflera gleasonii partial may contain external transcribed spacer and partial 18S ribosomal RNA gene
Source: RNAcentral